RNAcentral lists this ribosomal RNA (872 nucleotides) under uncultured Bacillus sp. RNAcentral describes it as "bacterial SSU rRNA". It matches the Rfam family "Bacterial small subunit ribosomal RNA", at positions 28 to 882 of the family's 1533-position model. The record is from RNAcentral. Lineage: Bacteria; Bacillati; Bacillota; Bacilli; Caryophanales; Bacillaceae.
GACGAACGCUGGCGGCGUGCCUAAUACAUGCAAGUCGAGCGGACUUUUAAAAGCUUGCUUUUAAAAGUUAGCGGCGGACGGGUGAGUAACACGUGGGCAACCUGCCUGUAAGACUGGGAUAACUUCGGGAAACCGGAGCUAAUACCGGAUAAUGCUUCUCCUCUCAUGAGGAGAAACUGAAAGAUGGUUUACGCUAUCACUUACAGAUGGGCCCGCGGCGCAUUAGCUAGUUGGUGAGGUAACGGCUCACCAAGGCGACGAUGCGUAGCCGACCUGAGAGGGUGAUCGGCCACACUGGGACUGAGACACGGCCCAGACUCCUACGGGAGGCAGCAGUAGGGAAUCUUCCGCAAUGGACGAAAGUCUGACGGAGCAACGCCGCGUGAGUGAUGAAGGUUUUCGGAUCGUAAAACUCUGUUGUUAGGGAAGAACAAGUACCGGAGUAACUGCCGGUACCUUGACGGUACCUAACCAGAAAGCCACGGCUAACUACGUGCCAGCAGCCGCGGUAAUACGUAGGUGGCAAGCGUUGUCCGGAAUUAUUGGGCGUAAAGCGCGCGCAGGCGGUCUCUUAAGUCUGAUGUGAAAGCCCCCGGCUCAACCGGGGAGGGUCAUUGGAAACUGGGAGACUUGAGUGCAGAAGAGAAGAGUGGAAUUCCACGUGUAGCGGUGAAAUGCGUAGAGAUGUGGAGGAACACCAGUGGCGAAGGCGACUCCUUGGUCUGUAACUGACGCUGAGGCGCGAAAGCGUGGGGAGCAAACAGGAUUAGAUACCCUGGUAGUCCACGCCGUAAACGAUGAGUGCUAAGUGUUAGAGGGUUUCCGCCCUUUAGUGCUGCAGCAAACGCAUUAAGCACUCCGCCUGGGGAGUA